Molecule: transfer RNA, 64 nt
Filed under: Austrofundulus guajira
Lineage: Eukaryota; Metazoa; Chordata; Actinopteri; Cyprinodontiformes; Rivulidae
Description: tRNA-Tyr
Source: RNAcentral
UAAGAUGGCUGAUAUAAGCAAUGGUUUGUAGCCCCAUCUAUGAAGGUUACAAUCCUUUUCGUAC